This 291-nucleotide ribosomal RNA is filed under the name Durinskia baltica. RNAcentral's name for it is "partial Bacterial large subunit ribosomal RNA". It matches the Rfam family "Bacterial large subunit ribosomal RNA", at positions 264 to 516 of the family's 2925-position model. Lineage: Eukaryota; Dinophyceae; Peridiniales; Kryptoperidiniaceae. The record is from RNAcentral.
CAGGCUAAACCUAGCGUGUGUGAUAGCCGGCAGGCGUUGCACGUUGGGGGUUGUGGGACUUUUCAGUCAUCUCUGCCGAGGUGGCGGCGUUACAAGAAGGUAUAGACGAACGGUCUUGAAAGGCCGGUCAUAGAGGGUGCCAACCCCGUAGUCGAAAUGCUUCUCUUGGCGCGAAGAGUAUCCCAAGUAGCACGGGGCCCGUGAAAUCCCGUGUGAAUCUGUCAGGACCACCUGAUAAGCCUAAAUACUCCCAGAUGACCGAUAGCGGACAAGUACCGUGAGGGAAAGGUG